GCUUCAUGAGGCACAAGCACCUCUAAAGGACAAAUUUUCACAGCCUUUAUUAGUUGCAAACGUUUAUACACUGCUUGGGGUGAAUAUGGGUCUUUGACUCUCAGAAUCCAUUUCCAUCCCUUUCUGGUGUGUUUUCCUGAACUGCAGAGAUUAGGAAGCUGAAGAACACGUUAUUUGACUCCCUUGCAGCGAGGGUUCUGGAUGCAAAUUAGAUUUCACUACUCAGGUGAUUUGACAUGACAUUUGGCGAUUUUUUCCACCACAGAUAUGGCGGUGAAGACAUGGAGUUUUUCCACUGCCAUAUUUUGGUAUCCAUUAGCUGGCUUUGUGGAUUCCGAGUGGCAUCUGCCUCAGGAGUGGCGGCAGCACCUGAUCCAAGCUUCCUGGUCCAGGAGUGGUGCCCGAUCCCUGUGUGGGCGAUUGAAGGAAGAGGAGACUGUGCUCACCACUGCAAGGACAGGUGCAACAGGAGUCCACUAAAGCCCAGGAAGACGAUGGUGAUGGGCUCAAAAGCAGCUGUGGACCCUGGGACAUCGUGAUGUGACACUGGUGCUUCCAGCCUGUCUCGGCCCCUUAACUAUCAACCAUGGGGCCUUUAACCUGAACGAGGGGAGACUUAGUGGCAGCACUCACCUUUCCUGUUGAAGAUCUGAAAACAGAAGGGAAAAUGAGAGAAAAUCAGGCAAAAUGCAAGGAACAAACAAAACACCCACGGACGCUCUCUGCUGAUGGACUUCACUUUUCCUUGGCCAUGAGAGCUUUUCAGUGUGUAAUUGAAGUCAGAGAAUGCCUGUGAUUCUAGUCCCCCAUCCUUUCUGUGGCCUUGGGCAAGGUGCUUAACCGCUGGGUGCCUCAGUUUCCCCCUCUGUAAAAUGGGGAUAAUCAUACUUAAUUGCUUCACCAUGCUGAGGUAAGGAUUAAUUAGUUGAUGUUUGUAAAUGGCUUUGAAGCCAGAAAAUGCUACAACAGAGCUGGGCAUUAUUCUUAAUAAUACAUUUCAACUGAGUUGAUAAUUGCAUUUGCUGUCUCAAAUUUCCCUGGCAGUUUCAGCUGAUG
RNAcentral lists this long non-coding RNA (1056 nucleotides) under Homo sapiens (human). RNAcentral's name for it is "HSALNT0158646". The record is from RNAcentral. Lineage: Eukaryota; Metazoa; Chordata; Mammalia; Primates; Hominidae.